CCUACGGGGGGCAGCAGUAGGGAAUAUUGCUCAAUGGGGGAAACCCUGAAGCAGCAACGCCGCGUGGAGGAUGAAGGUUUUCGGAUUGUAAACUCCUUUUGGUAGAGAAGAAAAGGACGGUAGCUAACGAAUAAGAACCGGCAAACGCCGGGCCAGCAGCCGCGGUAAUACGGAGGGGGCAAGCGUUACUCGGACUCACUGGGCGUAAAGAGCGCGUAGGCGGGAUGGCAAGGAUGAUGGGAAAUCCUAUGGCUUAACCAUAGAACCGCAUUUGAAACUGUUAUUCUAGAGUAUGGGAGAGGUAGGUGGAAUUCUUUGUGUCGUGGUCACCUCCGUAGAGAUCCCG
This 346-nucleotide ribosomal RNA is filed under the name uncultured bacterium. Its description in RNAcentral is "partial 16S ribosomal RNA". It matches the Rfam family "Bacterial small subunit ribosomal RNA", at positions 338 to 701 of the family's 1533-position model. The record is from RNAcentral.